UGGGGAGUCGUUCAAUGGUAGGACAUCGGCCUUUGACGCCGAGUAUCUAGGUUCGAAUCCUAGCUCCCCAGCCA
This 74-nucleotide transfer RNA is filed under the name Candidatus Eiseniibacteriota bacterium. Its description in RNAcentral is "tRNA-Gln". It matches the Rfam family "tRNA". From Rfam's summary of the family: Transfer RNA (tRNA) molecules are approximately 80 nucleotides in length. Their secondary structure includes four short double-helical elements and three loops (D, anti-codon, and T loops). Lineage: Bacteria; Candidatus Eiseniibacteriota. The record is from RNAcentral.